Molecule: long non-coding RNA, 3431 nt
Organism: Homo sapiens (human)
Lineage: Eukaryota; Metazoa; Chordata; Mammalia; Primates; Hominidae
Exons: 2
Source: RefSeq, a predicted model, not a curated record
ACACAGGCGGAGUGGCGAGCCAGUGAAUGGGAGGCUCUCCUGCAGCGGGGGCACCUUAGAGGCUGGUUGUGUGGGCCAAGAAUGCACUCGAAGAGCAGGAACAGAGUUUGCAAGGGGGGCUGCCGGUGUCCACGGGAACCGUGGCAGGCCAGACACACCCAUCCCUGGAGAAGCAGAAGGUCGGCUAGGAGCUAUGAACAUCCUUGCUGAGCCCCAGAAGUGAGGAGCAACAGGGGAGGAAGGAGGCUCCUAUCUUGAAGCUGUUGGGCACCUACGCAAGUGGCACAGGGAGGGGCAGGGUGUUGGCUCCGAGUGAGAGAUUUGCUUAAGCCAGAUGGUGGCCGAUGAAGGAGGCCCAGGCAACCCCUUCUGGUCUUCCAGACAGCACCACAGAUGGCUUCUCCAUCAAGACUUCAAUCUCAAAGGGCAAUACUGUGCGGCAAAAGAAGAGCUGGCUCCUGGAGGACUUCUGGGGCCCCAGGCAUGGAUCAAUGUUUGCAUCAGAAAAGAAAGCCUGUCAGCAAUGGAGGUGCUGGAGGAUUUCUGGAAGGGGGGGGCCUCAUUCAAGACCACCAAGGGACUGCUGACUGUUCUCGUUCAUGACGCCUCUCUUCAAGGAAAUUGACCCUCCCAGAGUGCAAGACGGAGAAAAAGGUUCUUAAGAACUUCCCCUGGAAAUCACCACUGAAUGGAUGCCAGGCAAUUCUAGAAUCUCCACUCUUUGGUUUUUUGGGCCCUUGGAUGGAUGAGAAGUGAUGUGCAGAUCUGAUGGGAAAAAUGGCAGAGACCACAGCUUCUCUCCUAAACCCUCAUUCAUUGCCCAUCGGACAAUUCUCCUGUUUCCGAUCCUGUAAGGUCACAAGGAUUUCUCAUUUCAGGUAGACCAGAAAAGAAGCCACUGAUGGAAUGCUGCAAGAAGGGGUUUACCAUGCGGUGUGAUUUCUGGGACCCCUUCUUCCCUGUUGAAAAUAUUUCACAGGCCCCCAGGACCUCCCCCAAAAGACAAGGGCAGAAACCAAAGAAAAUGCACUGUUCCAAUUUUGUCCAGGCUGCCUGUGGAAUGAGAAACCCAUGAGAAAGUUAUUGAGACUUCAGUUUUCUAUUCCUCUCCUUAUCCGGCCUCAUUACCUCCCCAACCCCUGAGAGAAAAAAUAAAUAAUUCACAAACAAAGGACGAGGGUGUGGUGGAUUGAGAGCAGGUUUGCUUGGUGACAGGAGGACUCUGUAGAGGGGGUCUGUUGGGAGGUGAGCAGGAGGGAGUGGCUGCUCCAGAGCCCACAGUUCUGUCCAGAAAGGUGGAAGUAACACAGGCAUCAUGAAGGCUUCUGGAGGCAGGGGCUGAGCCCUCUCACCGCAAGGACCACAGAAGCCAGGGCUGGACUCCUGGCCCGGGAAGCUCCAGUCCCAUGGACUCUAUCCCACUCCUUUGUCUCUUUCUCCCUCCUGUGCCUGCCCCGCCUGCCCCUUGCUCUGUCUUCAUCCUGGGAAGCCAGCUGCAGCAUGUAGGAGAGAAGGGCUCUGUCACGGCUGUCUCUAGUGUGUUAUUGUUAGUGUUACAUUACAAAUCCCGUUUCCAUGCCAGGGUCCCUCGGGGGUCAUAACCAGGAGAGGCCAUGACCCUGUCAAUAAACAGAACCCCAAUCCUUAAUGUAACCGUUUUGCAUUCACUGAGCCGGCUCCAUGGGUUUGUAUACCAGAUUCCGCUCCUAGGCAGGAUCACUUCAGAGAGGCUCCCGUGGAAGUCAAGGUAGAGGGCACGUGGAGGUAGACCAGAUGCUGCUCCUGCUGGCAAGAGGAAGUCAGGCAUAGGUUUGGCUUGUGCUCCUCCAGAGCCCCCAGCUUUUCAGACCAAGGUGCUUUAGGGGUUCAACCAUCACUCUGAAGUCUCUCUUGCUGCUCCCUUGCUGAAGUCUCUUUUCCCUUAGAAGACCCUCAGCAAUAGAGAGGCCUUUGCUGAUCUGUCAGAUGUUUAGCCCUGGGGAUUGUAAGUAAGACCAUUGAGCAAAGAGGAAGCAGGGCAGGGAAUGACCUGGCACACAUUACUCAGCCAGGAGACAUAGUUGACUUCAGCCCACUCUCAAUUUUUUUUGUUGUUGUUGCAGAUUAAUCUGCCCAAUAUAGUGUGCUUUCCUUCCCAGUGCAGAGCCAGCUGAUGAAUGAUGGGUAGAACCAAGUAAAAAGAAAAAAAAGAAGAAGAAGAACAGAAAUAGAGUCUGCUCACUCAUUCAACAAAUAUUUCUUGAGUACACAGUUCUGCACAUGGAUACCAGACAAGAAAAAGAAUUAUAGGGCAGUUUGAUUGGCGCUAUGGGUUGAGAAGCAAUUUCUUUUUUUCUGUCUUGCAUCUAACAGCCAUGUAUUUCAGAAGCUCUUGAUGCCAAUACUUGGCCUUCAUAGCUAUCACUCUCCAUAGAUCCCCUCUGCUUGGCCUAAAGAUAAAAUAUUCCUGGGUGUCUGUUGUAGGGACUAAAAUAUUCACAUUUGGAAAGAGAUAGUAGUGUUAGACUUUGCCCGUCAAACACAGCCUCAAAGUUAAUUACCAUUGCCUGGCUUGUUUCUAAAACCACCAAGUGUCUAUUUGAGUGUCUGGGGGAAGAAUAAGAGAGUUGGGCUAAAUGAGGUACUAUUAUUUCUGCUGAAUUAAUUAGACUCAAUUACAGAGUUAGAUGGGGUCUUGUAGCUCUAGGGAUCAGCCCUUGUUUCCUAAAUAUGGGAACCAAAGCCUGGAAGGAGAAAGAUGUUUGUCCCUAAUCACAAACACAGUUCCUGGUCCUGGAAAAAUGUGACCUAGGUGGAGAAAGAAACAAUAAAAAACAGAAAAGAAGGAGGCAAAAGAGGAGCCAGUGACCAAAGGCAAGCUUCACUUAUUUAUCCUGGGUCUGCCCAGGAAUCUAGCAUCAGACAGUAAGAGCCAACAUGGAGACAAGUCAGGCCAGUGACCUCAGAGGCACGCGGCCACUAGAAAGAAGCCCCCGAUGGCAUGAAGCUUUGUUCUCUGACAUAACCUAUGCAUCUAGCACUGUGCCUGCCUACAGGAGGUGCUCAGUUACUAGGAAAUUAACAAAACUGCCUUGCAGAUCUUUCCUGGCUGAAGAUGAGGAGUGAGGGAAGAGAAAGAAGACAACUAAAUUAGGCCCUCAGCUCCUAUUUCCAGAACAGUUCUGAGAGUGUCUGUUUCAGAGUUUGAGUUUCCACAACUGCCUUUGUUAACAGGAGGGAUCUAUAAAAAACCAAUGGUCUGGACCAGGGGCUCCCACUCUGAAAGUCUGUGACUACCAGGGGCAGUGGAGUUCUUUCACGAUUCGCCUAAUGUUGUUGUCUUAGAAAUAAUACCACUUAUACAAAAUACAAAACCAGCAGGACUAUUUCCCAAAUAAAUGUAAAUGAGACUGGAAUUAAUAAAGGUAAAUUCAUUUUUUAAAAUUACAAAA